AGAUUUGCUGCCAAUUUGUACUGACUUCUGAAAAAUACUUUAUCCAUUGUCUUCUUACAUCAGAAUCAACUCCCUAAAUUCUUCAGCACUGGCUUUGUAAACUGGUUUCUGGUCUUUGUUUCUGUCAACUUACCUAUAAAAGGAUACAAAAACUGAAGAACAGAGAGGAGCAGAUACCCUGGAAAGCCGAAGGUUUUAUUGACCAAAGACUGAGUCUCGGAAUGUUUUGAUUAGGGGAGUUUACAGAGUUCAGGCUGAGGUUUUAUAAAAAUAACUUGCAGCAGUAUGGAGGACUGAUGAGAAAGUAGACAGAUGCUGGAAGCAGGAAAACUGAACAGCAGGUCCCUGGCCAAGGAGAAUCAAAGAGCUAGAUGCUGAGAAUAAUGCAGCCAUAAUGUGAAAUCUUUUUGAGGCCUUCAGGCCUGGAGUCAUCGGUUCAUCAAGCUCCGUGGUGGUCUUAAAAUAUAUCCACAAAUUCUCUGACAUCCUCUCUUCAAGAAGUGGAGCUUAAUUCCCUUUCCUUUGAGUACAGACCACUCAUUCUGGGAGAAAGCAACUGCUAUGUCAUGAGGAAAUUGAAACCUAUGGAGAAAGGUUUUUCACCUAUGAAGAAAGGCCCACAUGGUGAGAAAGUAAAGCCUCUUCCCAAUACCAAAAUUCUGUAAGUCUGCUACAGUGACAUUUCUGGUUAGGAGUCAGAGUGGAUGGGGCACUGAGCAAUAAGUCAUCUGUGGACCACACCUACACCAGCGCUCCCUUCUGCGCAUCCUAUGGCACCUGUCUACUUUCUGCUUUGGGAAUCCCCACAGAGGCUAGCACAGUGCUGAACUUGU
Molecule: non-coding RNA, 833 nt
Filed under: Pongo abelii (Sumatran orangutan)
Lineage: Eukaryota; Metazoa; Chordata; Mammalia; Primates; Hominidae
Source: RNAcentral